RNAcentral lists this small RNA (318 nucleotides) under Histoplasma capsulatum var. duboisii H88. Its description in RNAcentral is "Histoplasma capsulatum H88 hypothetical RNA". The record is from RNAcentral. Lineage: Eukaryota; Fungi; Ascomycota; Eurotiomycetes; Onygenales; Ajellomycetaceae.
UGAUAAUCCUUAUACUCGAAUGCAUCCUCAAUACGAUGAUGGCCUGGAGAAGAUCAUUCAGAAAUUAGAUGCAUAUUUAUGUCUCGAUGAGAAAGGAAUUCCGCAAUUGUUGAAUGUUUAUUUAUUAUGUGAGACUGCGCGGUAGGCUGAUCUCAAGUUAGGAAAUUCCAUCAAAAACACCGCUCAUUUAAAUCUUCAAUAGGACACUUCACCAUUGAUUUUAUACAAGAAAUAUUAUAAUAUCUUGUAUUUGCAUGUAAUGUAGAUCUAGAAUAAACAGUCGAUUCAUAGCUAAUAAAACGAUAAAAAAAACCUAAG